UCUUCGGGUUGGACUCAUCCCAUCCAUGCCUGGGCUCUGUGGAACAAGCAUGGAGAAGGAGUGGGGAUUACUUGGCUUUCUUGUUCUGUCAUUAAGUUUUCUUGUCAGCAAUGGCCAAAACAUUGUCUGUGCACAGAACACAGUGGCUGACAUUGUAUUCCUGGUGGAUGGCUCAAACAGUAUUGGGCCGGCGAACUUCCUACAAAUCCGUGAAUUCCUCUCCUCGCU
Sinocyclocheilus anshuiensis is the source of this 228-nucleotide long non-coding RNA. RefSeq lists it as uncharacterized. The record is from RefSeq and is a predicted model, not a curated record. The transcript is spliced from 3 exons. NCBI's taxonomy places the organism in Eukaryota, Metazoa, Chordata, Actinopteri, Cypriniformes, Cyprinidae.